Molecule: ribosomal RNA, 468 nt
Filed under: uncultured bacterium
Lineage: Bacteria
Description: partial 16S ribosomal RNA
Rfam family: Bacterial small subunit ribosomal RNA
Source: RNAcentral
GACGAACGCUGGCGGCGUGCUUAACACAUGCAAGUCGAACGGAAAGGCCCUGCUUUCGUGGGGUGCUCGAGUGGCGAACGGGUGAGUAACACGUGAGUAACCUGCCCUUGAUUUUGGGAUAACUUAAGGAAACUGGGGCUAAUACCGGAUAGGAGCUCCUGCUGCAUGGUGGGGGUUGGAAAGUUUCGGCGGUUGGGGAUGGACUCGCGGCUUAUCAGCUUGUUGGUGGGGUAGUGGCUUACCAAGGCUUUGACGGGUAGCCGGCCUGGGAGGGUGACCGGCCACAUUGGGACUGAGAUACGGCCCAGACUCCAACGGGAGGCAGCAGUGGGGAAUAUUGCACAAUGGGCGGAAGCCUGAUGCAGCAACGCCGCGUGCGGGAUGACGGCCUUCGGGUUGUAAACCGCUUUCGCCUGUGACGAAGCGUGAGUGACGGUAAUGGGUAAAGAAGCACCGGCUAACUACGUG